This 497-nucleotide ribosomal RNA is filed under the name uncultured bacterium. RNAcentral's name for it is "partial 16S ribosomal RNA". It matches the Rfam family "Bacterial small subunit ribosomal RNA", at positions 28 to 507 of the family's 1533-position model. The record is from RNAcentral.
GAUGAACGCUGGCGGCGUGCCUAAUACAUGCAAGUCGAGCGAACAGAUAAGGAGCUUGCUCCUUUGACGUUAGCGGCGGACGGGUGAGUAACACGUGGGUAACCUACCUAUAAGACUGGGAUAACUUCGGGAAACCGGAGCUAAUACCGGAUAAUAUUUCGAACCGCAUGGUUCGAUAGUGAAAGAUGGUUUUGCUAUCACUUAUAGAUGGACCCGCGCCGUAUUAGCUAGUUGGUAAGGUAACGGCUUACCAAGGCGACGAUACGUAGCCGACCUGAGAGGGUGAUCGGCCACACCGGAACUGAGACACGGUCCAGACUCCUACGGGAGGCAGCAGUAGGGAAUCUUCCGCAAUGGGCGAAAGCCUGACGGAGCAACGCCGCGUGAGUGAUGAAGGUCUUCGGAUCGUAAAACUCUGUUAUUAGGGAAGAACAUACGUGUAAGUAACUGUGCACGUCUUGACGGUACCUAAUCAGAAAGCCACGGCUAACUACGUG